RNAcentral lists this ribosomal RNA (497 nucleotides) under uncultured bacterium. RNAcentral describes it as "partial 16S ribosomal RNA". It matches the Rfam family "Bacterial small subunit ribosomal RNA", at positions 28 to 507 of the family's 1533-position model. The record is from RNAcentral.
GAUGAACGCUGGCGGCGUGCCUAAUACAUGCAAGUCGAGCGAACAGACGAGGAGCUUGCUCCUCUGACGUUAGCGGCGGACGGGUGAGUAACACGUGGAUAACCUACCUAUAAGACUGGGAUAACUUCGGGAAACCGGAGCUAAUACCGGAUAAUAUAUUGAACCGCAUGGUUCAAUAGUGAAAGACGGUUUUGCUGUCACUUAUAGAUGGAUCCGCGCCGCAUUAGCUAGUUGGUAAGGUAACGGCUUACCAAGGCGACGAUGCGUAGCCGACCUGAGAGGGGGAGCGGCAACACGGGAACGGAGACACGGACAAGAAGACUACGGGAGGAAGCAGUAGGGAAUGUUCCGCAAUGGGCGAAAGCAGGACGGAGCAACGCCGCGUGAGUGAUGAAGGUCUUCGGAUCGUAAAACUCUGUUAUUAGGGAAGAACAAAUGUGUAAGUAACUAUGCACGGCGUGACGGUACCUAAUCAGAAAGCCACGGCUAACUACGUG